AUCUUUCCCUUUGAAUCAAUGUCUCUCUCUUUUAAGAAGCACUCCCUUAAUCUCUCUCUCCAUAAGCUAAGUUUUCUGGGUUUACAUAUUUCUUCAUCCUAAAGUCCUUUCCUUUUUCAUUGUUUGUUAUGUUUUUGUCUGCUUUUUUUCUCUAUAUCUGUUUCACAAGACAUAUAUCUUGGUUAUAAUUUCCAAGGUACUUUCCCCCCCUAUAAUUUUGGGCUAAUUUUUAUUAAAUUAUCAAAAAGGAAUCUUUCUGAUGUGGAAGAUAGAACUUCACAAAAGAACUUGAAGUAUAGAUUCUUCGUUGUAACAAUUCCCGGAAUAGACGCCCCAAUUUGUUUUAAUCAUUUGUAUACCUAAGCCAAUAAAAUAAUAAAAAAGGGCAAUGCAGACAAAGAAGAUAAAUUUGGAUUACACUAAAGGAGCCAAUCUUUCCUAUAUCGCGACAAAGAAAUAAAAGCUAUUGAAGUAGACUAUGCAUAUAUGGUAUUUGAUGAUAUGUCUUGUCCAUCUUAUGUUAUUGUGUGCUUACUGAUUCCUUUGAGCAUUUGCUUUCACUAUUCUGUUUUUUUUUUAUGAAGUUCUUCUUCUUUUUUUUUUUUUUUGACGAAGAGGGGCUACUCUACUAGUAAGCACCCUCCACUUUUAACUAAGAGGCUGUGAGUUUGAGUCAUCCCAAAGAGGAAGGUGGGGAGUUCUUGAAGGGAGGGAGACGAGGGUCUAUCGGAAAUAGCCUCUUUACUCCAAGGAUGGAACAAGAGAAAGCUCCAAGGAAGACGUGAAACUCGGCCUGUGGUCUUUUGUUCACAUAAACUUAAAAAAAAUUAAAAAGAGGAAGUUGAAAAUAUGAGUGUCAAAGAGAGGUAACUGACAAAAAGAUACUCUUUCAAGUAAGUCGGGAUGAACUUUUAAAACAAUUCUUUGUACUUGAAAGCAAAAAGGGUACAAUUUUUUAUUUUGUUACAGUGUUACCAUUUAGUAAUUCUAAUGGUGUGUUAGUGUGAAGCCUUUUUUUUCCCGCUGUUAGAUUGCGAUGGUCCUUUUGAAGUUUAGGUACAUAGUAUAAGAUUUAUUUAACAGUCUCCCCUUGCACAACACAAAAUCCUAAGAAGAAAGUUAAGAAAAGCAAAGGUCGUGGCUUCGGCCACCCUCGCUUCAGUUAAUCGACAAGACAAAGCCAAGUUGAUUGCAUAUUUAAAUGAAAUGAAAGAAGUGAAAGUUAGGAUGCUUGUGCUGUUGAAUUAUAACGUUUAAGGUCAAUUUGAUGGACCAGCGUUUUAGGAUAUCCAUAUGGAAAACAUCAAUUUGUCUUCGAUGGUUCUGUGACACUUUCAUCUGGAAGCCCUAUGCAUGUUAAGUUUGAUGCUCUUUUUGUAUUUAAAAAGGGAAUCAUUCAUUUUUUUAUAGGAUGUUGCAUAUAUAUACCUUUUCAAUGCCAGGUACUCUAUAAUUACAGUAUCUCAUGGAUUGUGGAUUCUUUUCUUCUAAUACAAUUUGAUGUGUUAUCUAAGUGAACUUCAUUAAUCCAAAUCAAACAUAUCUAACAUAAAUACCUGUGCACUUAGCAUUACUCAUACACAUUGAAUGAUGUUUUUUCCCUUUUCUUCUUAUGUAGCACUUACAUUGUAGCUAGUAUUAUUGCUUAUAUUGCAACAUAUGCAGAUACAUGUAGGUACUAAUAUCGCCUAUAUUGACCAGUCUUGUUAUUAACUUAUUCAUCUAAGUAGCAACUUGGUUCUGGCAAACUUACUAAUUUUUCAUGUUUAUGUGAGGCUCUUGCCUUGAUCAUAAACAGAAGUAUGAAUAAUCUGACCAUACUUUUUCUUUUGUUGAGAACGAAUACUUUAUCAUCAAUAUUUAUUUAUCAAAUAAUAUAUAAUAUUUAACAGAGGCACAAUUACACUAGCAACAUAUAGUACUACUCACUAUAAAACUAUUUAUGUGCAGUUGUUGCCUUAGUCUUGAACAGAAGUAUGAACAAUCUGACCGUACUUUUUCUUUUGUGGAGAAAGAAUACUUUAUCAUCAAUAUUUAUGUAUCAAAUAAGAACCUUCUAUAACAUUUAACAGAGGUAUGGUUACAAUGACAACAUAUGGUACUACUCACUAUAAAAUUAUUUAUGUGCAGCUCUUGCCUUGGUCGUGAACAGAAGUAUGAACAAUCUGUCCGUACUAUUUCUUUUGUUGAGAAAGCAUCAAUAUUUGUGUAUCAAAUAAGAGAGAUAUGGUUACAUUGACAAUAUAUGAUAAUACUUACUAAAACUACGUUUCUACUAAACUUAUCUAUCUCUGUAAGCUAAGUUACCGGAUAACUGAUGAAGACAUUUUGUGCAUUGCUGAUAAAAUGUUGCAGAUUUUAUGCAAUUCCUCUUCCUACAACAGAAUGAUCCGGAAAAAGGAUAAUGAUGGGAACUACUCUGUCAGCUCUUGCUAUAAGCUUUUAACCUUAAGCCCUCUUCUCACAUAACUCACAUAGGCUCUUUACUUCUAGCCCUCCUAUCCAUAGUUAUUGGUUUUAUUUGAACAACAUUGCACAAUGAUUGUUUGACAAAAGGUUACACCUUAUGUAAUAGAUUUUAACUUUGCUCCAGUAACUUAAGUUUUUCUUUGCAUUGUCCCAUAGCUACUCAACAAUGCAAGUGUUGUAGUUAAAUGGAAUCAUCCCUGGUGAUCUAAAAGGCGCUACCAACAUCUUUCGGAAGGAAGAUAGGAACACAAGGCCGUUUCGAAUACUAUGGGCAAGCUAAAAGAAAGAAACUAUUGAUGUUCUGGAGAUGCAUCUGCAAUAUACACACCAGAAUGCACAUACAAAUUUGAAGAUGUAUCUGCGAUAUACACACGAGAAUGCAAAUGUCUGCACCUGUUAACUUUUAGACUAACUUACAAGAUGUAUAUAACUUACUAUAUAAUAUUUGGUGUUAAUUAAUAAAGUUGAUCACUUAUCCUA
Nicotiana tabacum (common tobacco) is the source of this 2949-nucleotide long non-coding RNA. RefSeq lists it as uncharacterized. NCBI's taxonomy places the organism in Eukaryota, Viridiplantae, Streptophyta, Magnoliopsida, Solanales, Solanaceae. The record is from RefSeq and is a predicted model, not a curated record.